RNAcentral lists this ribosomal RNA (500 nucleotides) under uncultured Campylobacterota bacterium. Its description in RNAcentral is "bacterial SSU rRNA". It matches the Rfam family "Bacterial small subunit ribosomal RNA", at positions 74 to 595 of the family's 1533-position model. The record is from RNAcentral. Lineage: Bacteria; Pseudomonadati; Campylobacterota.
CCUAGCUUGCUAGGUGGAUUAGUGGCGCACGGGUGAGUAAUAUAUAGAUAACGUGCCUCUUAGUCUGGGAUAGCCAUUGGAAACGAUGAUUAAUACUAGAUAUUCCUUCUAACAAUAAUGUUAGUCGGGAAAGUUUUUCGCUAAGAGAUCGGUCUAUAUCCCAUCAGCUAGUUGGUAGUGUAAGAGACUACCAAGGCAAUGACGGGUAGCGGGUUUGAGAGGAUGAUCCGCCACACUGGUACUGAGACACGGACCAGACUCCUACGGGAGGCAGCAGUGAGGAAUAUUGCACAAUGGAGGAAACUCUGAUGCAGCAACGCCGCGUGGAGGAUGACGCAUUUCGGUGUGUAAACUCCUUUUAUAUGUCAAGAAAAUGACGGUAGCAUAUGAAUAAGCACCGGCUAACUCCGUGCCAGCAGCCGCGGUAAUACGGAGGGUGCAAGCGUUAUUCGGAAUCACUGGGCGUAGAGGACGCGUAGGCGGGAUGCCAAGUCUGAUGU